UUGGUGUCAUGAUUGCUGAAAUUUUCAGAUUUUGGGUUUUUGAGAUUUGAUUGUUUGAAUGCACUCUUUAUAUCACCAAAUGGCUACUAUAAAAAUCUAGUGCAAGAAUUUUUUCAUUUUGGUUUGUUUUUAAGCGAAGUAAGUUACGUGGAGAGACUUGGCUAAGUUUUUCCUUGGUGUCAAGAUUGGUGAAAUUUUCAGAGACUGGGAUUUUGAGAUUAAAUUCUUGUAAUACACUCUUUAUAUCACCAAAGGGUUAUUAUAAAAAUCUCGUGCAAGAAAUUUUUCAUUGUCGUUGGUUUGAAAUCCAGUCAUGUUCGGUGGUAAGACUUGAAUAAGUUGGUCGUUGGUGCUAAGAUUGGGGAAAUUUUCAAAGUCUUGGUUUUUGAUAUUUAAUGGUUGAAGGGCACUCUUUGUAUGACCAAAUGACGACCUUAAAAAUCUUGGUGCAAGAUAUUAUUCGUUUUGGUUGGUUUUAAAGCUAGCCAAAUAUUGUGGUAAGACUUGGCUAAUUUGGUGUUUGCUGCCAAGAUUGGAUAAAUUUUCAAUUUCUUGCUUUUUGAGAUUAUAUGAUUGGAAAACACUCUUUAUUUCCCCAAAUGACUACUGUAAAAAUCCUUGUCCAACAAAGGUUUCACUUUCAAUGGUUUUGAAGCUAGCUAAUUUAGGUGGUGAGACUUAACCAACUUUGUCCUUGGAGCCAAGAUUUGUGAAAUUUUCAGAAUUUUGUUUUUGAGAUUUCAUAGUUGGAAUCCACUUUUUAUAUCAUCAAAUGGCUACUAUAAAAAUCCCGUGCAAGAAAGUUUUUCAUUUUCGUUGGUUUUAAAGCGAGCGAAGUUAGGUGGUGAGACAUGGCUAUGUUUGUCCUUAGUGUCAAGAUUUGUGAAUUUUCACAAUCUUGGUUUUUGGAGAUUUGAUUGUUGUAAUGCACUCUUUAUAUCACCAAUUGGAUACUAUAAAAAUAUUGUGCAAGAAAUUUUUCAUUUUGGUUUGUUUUCAAUCCAGUCAUGUUUCGUGGUAAGACUCGACUAAUUUGGUGGUUGGUGCCAAGAUUUGGGAAAUUUUCAAAGUCUUUAGUUUUUGAGAUUUAAUGGUUCCAGUUCACUCUUUGCAUCAUCAAAUGACUAUCGUACACAUCUUGGUGCAAGAAAUUUUCAUUUUGGUUGGUUUUCAAGCUAGCCAAAUUUUGUGGUGAAACUUGGCUAAUUUGGUGUUUGGUGCCAGGAUUGGAUAAAAUUUCAAUUUCUUGCUAUUUGAGAUUAUAUGGUUGGAAAACCCUCUUUAUAUCCCCAAAUGACUACUGUAAAAAUCCUUCUCCAAGAAAUGUUUCAUUUUCAAUGGUUUUCAAGCUAGCUAAGUUAG
This 1362-nucleotide long non-coding RNA is filed under the name Vigna radiata. RNAcentral's name for it is "long non-coding RNA (VRAD_LNC013507)". Lineage: Eukaryota; Viridiplantae; Streptophyta; Magnoliopsida; Fabales; Fabaceae. The record is from RNAcentral.